Paramisgurnus dabryanus is the source of this 260-nucleotide long non-coding RNA. RefSeq lists it as uncharacterized. Lineage: Eukaryota; Metazoa; Chordata; Actinopteri; Cypriniformes; Cobitidae. The record is from RefSeq and is a predicted model, not a curated record.
CCUGUAUAAGGUGUACAUCAAUGAACCACAUAAGCAAGUUGAGCCACAACAGUCAGGCAAAGCAAGAACAUCAGAGGAUAAAAUGAAACUCAAAGAUUGCCAUGAGCGCUUUAACAGAGCACAAAUUAAAACGAAAAAGACUGCCAUAGAGCAAUCACAAGAAUAUUUCAUGCCCUCAUCACCUGUGAAGACCACAUCCUCGUCCUCUUCUCCUGUGCAGCCCUCAUCACCUGUGAUGACCACAUCAUCGUCCUCUUCUC